CAUGCAAGUCAACUUGAAUUUGGGUUUUUAACUUAGAUUUGGGUGGCGGACGGGUGAGUAACGCGUAAAGAACUUGCCUCACAGCUAGGGACAACAUUUAGAAAUGAAUGCUAAUACCUGAUAUUAUGAUUUUAAGGCAUCUUAGAAUUAUGAAAGCUAUAUGCGCUGUGAGAGAGCUUUGCGUCCCAUUAGCUAGUUGGAGAGGUAACAGCUCACCAAGGCGAUGAUGGGUAGCCGGCCUGAGAGGGUGAACGGCCACAAGGGGACUGAGACACGGCCCUUACUCCUACGGGAGGCAGCAGUGGGGAAUAUUGGACAAUGGACCGAGAGUCUGAUCCAGCAAUUCUGUGUGCACGAUGAAGUUUUUCGGAAUGUAAAGUGCUUUCAGUUGGGAAGAAAAAAUGACGGUACCAACAGAAGAAGUGACGGCUAAAUACGUGCCAGCAGCCGCGGUAAUACGUAUGUCACGAGCGUUAUCCGGAUUUAUUGGGCGUAAAGCGCGUCUAGGUGGUUAUGUAAGUCUGAUGUGAAAAUGCAGGGCUCAACUCUGUAUUGCGUUGGAAACUGUAUAACUAGAGUACUGGAGAGGUAAGCGGAACUACAAGUGUAGAGGUGAAAUUCGUAGAUAUUUGUAGGAAUGCCGAUGGGGAAGCCAGCUUACUGGACAGAUACUGACGCUAAAGCGCGAAAGCGUGGGUAGCAAACAGGAUUAGAUACCCUGGUAGUCCACGCUGUAAACGAUGAUUACUAGGUGUUGGGGGUCGAACCUCAGCGCCCAAGCAAACGCGAUAAGUAAUCCGCCUGGGGGGUACGUACGCAAGUAUGAAACUCAAAGGAAUUGACGGGG
Molecule: ribosomal RNA, 847 nt
Filed under: uncultured bacterium
Lineage: Bacteria
Description: bacterial SSU rRNA
Rfam family: Bacterial small subunit ribosomal RNA
Source: RNAcentral